UUGCCCUACGGGGGGCAGCAGUGGGGAAUAUUGCACAAUGGGGGAAACCCUGAUGCAGCAACGCCGCGUGGGUGAAGAAGUAUUUCGGUAUGUAAAGCCCUAUCAGCAGGGAAGAGAAUGACGGUACCUGACUAAGAAGCCCCGGCUAACUACGUGCCAGCAGCCGCGGUAAUACGUAGGGGGCAAGCGUUAUCCGGAUUUACUGGGUGUAAAGGGAGCGUAGGCGGGACGGUAAGUCAGCGGUAAAAAUGCGGAGCUCAACUCCGUCGAGCCGUUGAAACUGCCGUUCUUGAGUGAGCGAGAAG
This 305-nucleotide ribosomal RNA is filed under the name uncultured bacterium. RNAcentral's name for it is "bacterial SSU rRNA". It matches the Rfam family "Bacterial small subunit ribosomal RNA", at positions 334 to 657 of the family's 1533-position model. The record is from RNAcentral.